UGUAACGAAUUUAGUGUUAGAUUCUAAAAGGAUAAGCGUGGAGUUUUGUUUAAUUAAGAGGAAAAUUAAGCACGAUAUUUCAAUCUUUCGUAACAGUUUCCGAGUUUUAAACUUAUUUCUGUGGUGCAUGAUAAUUUAAAAGGAAAAAGUUGUGAGAAACUUUUCUUGGUGUCUAAAGUUAAUAUACCGAAAGAUACAGAAUUGGUUUUGGACUAUGGAUAGACCUUGAGAGAUAGGAUUCUAGGAAACCCUUGAAUGACCGGAUAACUCUGUCGCUUCUAAAUUAAAUGUAAAAUGUCAAUUAUCAAUUGAGGCUAUAAAUUGUACAUGUACAGUGACAAAUGAUAACAGUGUGAAUGUGAAAAAUUGUGAGCUCUGCACAUCGUCCUCAAGCAAUUUUCGUGCUAAUGGCAGAAUAAAGUAAUUAAAAUAGCUGCCAAGGGGGAAAUCAUCAGAAAUUUAUGUAAAGAGGAACCUCCUAAAAGAAAAGACAAUUCUGAAACAAAAUCAACUAAUGUACAAAAGAUUGAUGAAACUCAUCAACAAAGGACAAACAACACAAAAACCUCUUAUGUUGUCCCGAAAAUACGUCAGAUCAAGCACAGAAAUUUACUAAAGGCGAAUUUUCAAAAUUAAUGCUGGAUAGAAGCAAUAUGCAUCUCGAUAUUUUGAAAUAUAUUCAAAAUUGUUCAACUACAUUAAAUUAAUGCCAAAAGUAGGAGACCCCGCGAAUAGUUGUGAGGACUAUGCUGAUAAAACUAGGAAUUUUACUUAGGAGCAAAGAUCAUCAAUCCUAAAAUAUUUAUGUGACAAUGUUCAUCCAAUCACCUUGCAACACCUUGAUGUACAUGUACCAAGUCUAAUUCAUGUCACUAUUACAUGCACUUUGAUACACAGACCAUCCAACUUUGAUUCAGGCUUUUUACAUCAUAUGGCUGAUCUAGAUGCUGUUUAAAGAGCACAGUCUGUACUGUUUGUGAUUGAAGAAGAAGUGGAAACAAAGCCAGAAAAUCUGUUGAGUCAUACAGAUAUUCUGUUUAAUAUGUCCCGAAACACAAACUUCAGCGAAGACCUACUUUAGAAAAGAUGCAUGGCAGCUUGUUUUAAAUACUCUCAAAGUAUUAGAAGAUAUGUAUAUUAGUAACACUCAGAAGUAUUAUGAUAAGAUUUCUCCAUGCCAGACAAGAAAAGGCAAAGCUUUAAUAGGUCCAGUUGAAGGAAGAAUAUUCAAAAAGUUUUCAAAAAGGACAUCAGACCAGAUUAAAUCAAAAAAAAGAAGUGUAUAUUCCUUUACAAGUGAGGAAUUUUCUCCAUUAAAAGCUAGG
Long non-coding RNA from Mytilus trossulus (common blue mussel), 1325 nucleotides. RefSeq lists it as uncharacterized. Lineage: Eukaryota; Metazoa; Mollusca; Bivalvia; Mytilida; Mytilidae. The transcript is spliced from 7 exons. The record is from RefSeq and is a predicted model, not a curated record.